This 711-nucleotide ribosomal RNA is filed under the name uncultured bacterium. Its description in RNAcentral is "bacterial SSU rRNA". It matches the Rfam family "Bacterial small subunit ribosomal RNA", at positions 121 to 850 of the family's 1533-position model. The record is from RNAcentral.
GCGACCUGUCCGGAAGUGGGGAAUAACUGCCCGAAAGGGUGGCUAAUACCGCAUGUGGUCGGCGAUUCGCUUCGCCGUCCAAAGCCGUAAGGCGCUUCCGGAGGGGCCUGCGUCCGAUUAGCUAGUUGGAGGGGUAGCGGCUCACCAAGGCGACGAUCGGUAGCUGGUCUGAGAGGAUGAUCAGCCAGACUGGGACUGAGAUACGGCCCAGACUCCUACGGGAGGCAGCAGUCGGGAAUUUUGCCCAAUGGACGAAAGUCUGAGGCAGCAACUCCGCGUGAGGGACGAAGGCUCUCGGGUCGUAAACCUCUUUUCUCAGGGAAGAUACAAGACGGUACCUGAGGAAUAAGCCACGGCUAACUACGUGCCAGCAGCCGCGGUAAUACGUAGGUGGCGAGCGUUGUCCGGAAUUACUGGGCGUAAAGAGCGCGCAGGCGGCUGACCAAGUCCGAUGUGAAAGCUCCCGGCUCAACUGGGAAAUUGCAUCGGAAACUGAUCGGCUUGAAGGUGGGAGAGGGUAGCGGAAUUCCCGGUGUAGUGGUGAAAUGCGUAGAUAUCGGGAGGAACACCAGUGGCGAAGGCGGCUACCUGGCCCAUUCUUGACGCUGAGGCGCGAAAGCUAGGGGAGCAAACGGGAUUAGAUACCCCGGUAGUCCUAGCCGUAAACGAUGAACACUAGGCGUAGUCGGUAUCGACCCCGGCUGUGCCGUA